Molecule: long non-coding RNA, 201 nt
Organism: Lontra canadensis (Northern American river otter)
Lineage: Eukaryota; Metazoa; Chordata; Mammalia; Carnivora; Mustelidae
Exons: 3
Source: RefSeq, a predicted model, not a curated record
CAGCUGAAGACAGAUGCAUGCAUGCCCAGCCAAUAUUAACAGAGUCUGGCCCAGAUUGGAAGAACCAUUCAGCUGUGGGAGGCCCCACACUGCACACUCUCCAAACUAAUCAGGCUCUGUUUGGCAUACCAAUGGCAGGGCAGUGGGAACGGUCCACUCCUGGUGCAGCACCAGGCUUAGAUGCCCUUCAGCAGACGAAUG